UGGGGGAAUAUUGCACAAUGGGCGCAAGCCUGAUGCAGCGAUGCCGCGUGAGGGAAGAAGGUCUUCGGAUUGUAAACCUCUGUCUUCGGUGACGAUAAUGACGGUAGCCGAGGAGGAAGCCACGGCUAACUACGUGCCAGCAGCCGCGGUAAUACGUAGGUGGCAAGCGUUGUCCGGAAUUACUGGGUGUAAAGGGAGCGUAGGCGGGGACGCAAGUCGAAUGUCAAAUCCAUCGGCUCAACCGGUGAUCGCGUUCAAAACUGUGUCUCUUGAGUGGAGUAGAGGCAGGCGGAAUUCCCAGUGUAGCGGUGAAAUGCGUAGAUAUUGGGAGGAACACCAGUGGCGAAGGCGGCCUGCUGGGCUCUAACUGACGCUGAGGUUCGAAAGUGUGGGUAGCAAACAGGAUUAGAUACCCUGGUAGUCCCUAGACUGCCAAGGCACAC
RNAcentral lists this ribosomal RNA (443 nucleotides) under uncultured Oscillospiraceae bacterium. RNAcentral's name for it is "bacterial SSU rRNA". It matches the Rfam family "Bacterial small subunit ribosomal RNA", at positions 354 to 816 of the family's 1533-position model. Lineage: Bacteria; Bacillati; Bacillota; Clostridia; Eubacteriales; Oscillospiraceae. The record is from RNAcentral.